This 253-nucleotide ribosomal RNA is filed under the name uncultured bacterium. RNAcentral's name for it is "partial 16S ribosomal RNA". It matches the Rfam family "Bacterial small subunit ribosomal RNA", at positions 524 to 776 of the family's 1533-position model. The record is from RNAcentral.
UACAGAGGUCUCAAGCGUUGUUCGGAAUCACUGGGCGUAAAGCGUACGCAGGCUGUUCGUUAAGUCGGGUGUGAAAUCCCGGGGCUCAACCCCGGAAUUGCGCCCGAAACUGGCGAGCUUGAGUGCGGGAGAGGGAAGCGGAAUUCCUGGUGUAGAGGUGAAAUUCGUAGAUAUCAGGAGGAACACCGGUGGCGAAAGCGGCCUCCUGGCCCGACACUGACGCUCAUGUACGAAAGCGUGGGGAGCAAACAGG